GAUGAACGCUGGCGGCGUGCCUAAUACAUGCAAGUCGAGCGAACAGACGAGAAGCUUGCUCCUCUGACGUUAGCGGCGGACGGGUGAGUAACACGUGGAUAACCUACCUAUAAGACUGGGAUAACUUCGGGAAACCGGAGCUAAUACCGGAUAAUAUAUUGAACCGCAUGGUUCAAUAGUGAAAGACGGUUUUGCUGUCACUUAUAGAUGGAUCCGCGCCGCAUUAGCUAGUUGGUAAGGUAACGGCUUACCAAGGCAACGAUGCGUAGCCGACCUGAGAGGGUGAUCGGCCACACUGGAACUGAGACACGGUCCAGACUCCUACGGGAGGCAGCAGUAGGGAAUCUUCCGCAAUGGGCGAAAGCCUGACGGAGCAACGCCGCGUGAGUGAUGAAGGUCUUCGGAUCGUAAAACUCUGUUAUUAGGGAAGAACAAAUGUGUAAGUAACUAUGCACAUCUUGACGGUACCUAAUCAGAAAGCCACGGCUAACUACGUG
RNAcentral lists this ribosomal RNA (497 nucleotides) under uncultured bacterium. RNAcentral describes it as "partial 16S ribosomal RNA". It matches the Rfam family "Bacterial small subunit ribosomal RNA", at positions 28 to 507 of the family's 1533-position model. The record is from RNAcentral.